This 277-nucleotide ribosomal RNA is filed under the name uncultured Campylobacterota bacterium. Its description in RNAcentral is "uncultured Epsilonproteobacteria bacterium partial 16S ribosomal RNA". It matches the Rfam family "Bacterial small subunit ribosomal RNA", at positions 234 to 528 of the family's 1533-position model. The record is from RNAcentral. Lineage: Bacteria; Pseudomonadati; Campylobacterota.
CGUACGAUUAGAUAGUUGGUGGGGUAAAGGCCUACCAAGUCUACGAUCGUUAACUGGUCUGAGAGGAUGAUCAGUCAGACUGGAACUGAGAUACGGUCCAGACUCCUACGGGAGGCAGCAGUUAGGAAUCUUCCACAAUGGACGAAAGUCUGAUGGAGCAACGCCGCGUGCAGGAUGAAGGCCUUCGGGUCGUAAACUGCUUUUAUAAGUGAAGAAUAUGACGGUAGCUUAUGAAUAAGCACCGGCUAACUACGUGCCAGCAGCCGCGGUAAUAAGG